This 465-nucleotide ribosomal RNA is filed under the name uncultured bacterium. Its description in RNAcentral is "partial 16S ribosomal RNA". It matches the Rfam family "Bacterial small subunit ribosomal RNA", at positions 338 to 795 of the family's 1533-position model. The record is from RNAcentral.
CCUACGGGGGGCAGCAGUGGGGAAUAUUGCGCAAUGGGCGAAAGCCUGACGCAGCGACGCCGCGUGAGGGAUGAAGGUCUUCGGAUCGUAAACCUCUGUCAGCAGGGAAGAACGGUUACUGUGCUAAGCAGCAGUGAAUGGACGAUACCUGCAAAGGAAGCACCGGCUAACUCCGGGCCAGCAGCCGCGGUAAUACGGAGGGUGCGAGCGUUAAUCGGAAUUACUGGGCGUAAAGCGCUCGUAGGCGGUAUGUCAAGUCAAGGGUGAAAUCCCCGCGCUCAACUUGGGAACUGCCUUUGAAACUGGCAAACUGGAGUGUGUGAGAGGCUAGUGGAAUUCCAGGUGUAGGCGUGAAAUCCGUAGAUAUCUGGAGGAACAUCAGUGGCGAAGGCGACUCUCUGGCACAUAACUGACGCUGCGGUGCGAAAGCGUGGGUAGCAAACAGGAUUAGAUACCCUUGUAGUC